CCCCCCACCCUUUUUUUGAGACGGAGUUUCGCUCUUGUUGCCCAGGCUGGAGUGCAAUGGUGCAAUCUUGCCUCACCGCAACCUCUGCCUCCUGGGUUCAAGCGAUUCUCCUGCCUCAGCCUUCCAGGUGGCUGGGAUUACAGGAAUGUGCCACUACGCCCAGCUAAUUUUUGUAUUUUUAGUAGAGACAGGGUUUCGCCAUGUUUGCUAGGCUGGUCUCGAAUUCCUGACCUCAGGUGAUCCACCCGCCUCGGCCUCCCAAAGUGCUGGGAGCCGUAAGCCACUGUGCCCGGCCUACACUUUUUAAAAAUACAAAUACAGGUAUAAAGUGUGAAGCAUGGGUUACUAGAAUGACAUGAUGGGAGGGUGAUUAGGGAUCUGCUCCACCCUCAAGGGGGUGCUUGUCCUGUAUGAAAAAAGGCACAUCCUGGCCAGGCACGGUGGCUCACGCCUGUAAUCCCAGCUCUUUGGGAGGCCGAGGCGGGGGGAUCACCUGAGGUCUGGAGUUCAAGACCAGCCUGGCCAAUAUGGAGAAACCCUGCCUCUACUAAAAAUACAAAAAUUAGCUGGGUAUGAUGGUGUAUGCCUGUAGUCCCAGCUAGUACGGAGGCUGACGCAGGAGAAUCUCUUGAACCUGGGAGGCGGAGGUUGCAGUGAGCUGAGAUCGCGCUAUUGCACUCCAGCCUGGCGACAAAGUGAGACUCCGACAAGAAAGAGAGAGAGAGAGAGGGAGGGAGGGAGAGAGAGAGAGAGAGAGAGAGGGAGGGAGAGAGAGAAAGAAAGAAAGAAAGAAAAAGAGAAAGAAAGAAAAAAAGGCACAUACUAUAGAUUUUAAAGUUUCAUUUUGUAAGUCACACCAGGGCAGGAAGUAGAAUAGAGAUUUGAGCCCAAGUGUACCUGACAAGUCUCUCUGCCUGCACUCCUAGACAAGAUGAUCAGGACAGACCUCAUUCUUCUUUGGUUGUCCCCAGGCAGGAGGAAAUAAAUGUCACUUCCUAUGUUGGAAGAGCUGAGGGGUGGUGGUUUAGCAGUAAGAGAUGAAAAAUCUGAUUAAACGUCUCAGGCACACUAUGGAUCUCAGGGCUGAUGGAGGACAAGGAGGGGACAAGGGAGGACGCAGUCCAGGGUGCACCCCCUUGUUAGUGGCUGGGGUCAGUGGCUGACCAAGUAGGAGGGAAGGGGGUAAGAAAAGUAGCUUUCAGGGAGAAGAAGCUGUGCGUGAAUGUGGACAUGUUCAGCAUGAGAUGCCCAAGAAUCGUCCCCAGUGGUCAUUUGGAUAUGGGUCUGGAGCUGAAGGGUGAGACACAGUGGGUGUGUUUUUCAGUCAGUUAUGGGUUCUAAUCAGGAACAAGAAGUGUGUAAGAUCGUCCCAGAUGAGACGGUGAAGCCAGGACCUUCAGAAACGCAUUCGAGGGGCAAGAGGAAAAGGACAGUGAGGUGGAGCAGGGGGAACAGGACACUGAGGAGGGGCCGGAGAUGCAGCGAGUACAGAGCAAACAAGUGGCUGUAAAGGGGAGGAGAGCGCAGAAUCUGGGGAGGCCGCUGGAGAGUGAAGGAGAGGCAGGAGGGUGAAAAGUCCGAACUAGAGGGGUUAGGGGCAGAGUGAAGUUCUCGGGGCGUUGCCUGGAUGAGGCCCGGGAGGCUACAGACAGCGAGGAGGGGCGCCCGUCGGAGGGGACCGGAGGCCUGCCAAGAUGUGGGGACCUUAAGGAAGUUGCUGACCAACCACGUCCUCGGCGCAGCCAAGAGCCCGACCCGGGUCAAAGGCCCGAUGGCCCCUGCGGAACUGGGCCAGGACCCGCGCAGCCGCGUUCGCCCCCUCGAGGUCGUGAGCGCGCGUACCCAGAGCAACCGGCAUUGUCGCCCGAGGCAGGCGACUGGGGAUUGGCCCCGCCCCCGGCUUCCGCGCGGAUUGGCUGGGGCAGGGCGGGGCGGGGCGGCGCGGCUGCAGUAGGCUAGAGAGUCCGCACCUGCGCCGCGGCCGUGGGGAGAGAGGGUGCGUCCCGGCAGUCCCGCACGACGGGCCCCGCCUCCCCUGGUGACCCCACGCUCCGGCCUCGGGGCGAGUGGCGGUCGGCGCGCCGAGACCCUUGGGAGCCCCGCCCAGACGCCUGCUCCGCUUCCAGGCCACCCGGGCUCUCCAGCCGCGCUCGCUCAUAGGGAUCCUAGACGAGUUCGACAGCGAGGUCCCGCAGAGCAAGACCUGCCAGCAGAUCUCCGAGGAGGACUUGGAGAGGCAGGCGGACACCUACACUGGGCGCGCGCUGCGCCUCCUCUUCCGCAGCCCCGUCCGCAACCCGUCGCUGGCGGAGAGGGUGGUACAAUUGGAACAGCGCGGGAUCUCUUUUCUCCGGAUGCGGCCGCGGGGCAUGGGACCGGCUGGGCGGGAACUGUCACUACCCGGGUCUGCCGUCCCCUAGGAAAGAGCUGCGACGAUUGGAGCUUUGGGGGCCGGGGAUGGGGGUGGGGUGGAGAGGUCGCCGUCGGCCUAGCUGGGGCUGCAGGGUAGGAUCUAUCAGAAAGCCGAGGCUGCACAGCCUGGGGAGUGGAGCGGGCAGGCGUCUCACGCCCCGGACCUCCCCCUGCCCUGCCUCUCCUACUCUUGUUGCAGGCGAAGUUCUGUGUUGUGCAGGGGGAGCUGAACCAUUGCAACAGCAUGGGCGCCCUGGAGAUGCACGAGCAGGUGGAGCAGCUGAAGCAGAGCAUCCACCGCGUGCACCUCUACUCCCGGGGCGAGGAUCAACCUCUCCCGGUGCUGGGCCCUGGGCGGGGGUCUGAGCCCAGUGCAGCCAGGCCGAGGGCUAGGUGACCACCUCCACUCUUCCGGUUGGAUUUGCCCUCCUUGGAUCAGGUUUUAUCCAGAGCAGGAAGGGGCCUGGGCAGUCUGGACCUGGGAGGAGAGGCGCUGCUGCCCCUAGCUAGAUUCUUUAGUUAGGAGACUGACUUCAGCUCUGCUACUUCCUUCCUGGCUGUGUGAUCCUGAGCAAGUUGGGCCACCUUUCCGAGAGAGAGAGCCCUCACUGCUCACCUUGGUGAGUGUUUUGGAGUGGUGGAUGAAGGCCUGUAGGUAGGGCUGGCUCAAGCAACCAAGCAAACCUGAAUCAAUUAAAAAAAAAAAAAAAGGCCGGGUGCGGUGGCUCACGCCUGUAAUCCCAGCACUUUGGGACAAGGCCGAGGCGGGCGGAUCACAAGAUUAGGAGUUCGAGACCAGCCUGACCAACAUGGUGAAACCGCCGUCUCUACUAAAAAUACAAAAAUUAGCCAGGCGUGGCGGUGCGUGCCUGUAAUCCCAGCUACUUAGGAGCCUGAGGCAAGAAAAUUGCUUGAACCCAGGAGGCGGAGGUUGCAGUGAGCUGAGACAGCGCCACUGCACUCCAGCCUGGGCAACAGAGUGAGACUCCAUCUCAAAAAAAUAAAAAAAAAAAGUUGAGAGAGUCCUGGCACAGACCAACCAUGUCCUUGGUGUGGCCCUGUGGCUUGUCUCUGGCCCUGUGUUUGGCACUUAAAAAAAAAGAGGCACUUUUUAUUAAAGUAAACAUGUACAAAACUGGAGAUGACAGCAGACACCUCCAAGAACCUGUCGUCAGCCUCAGCAACUGUCCCCAUCUUGCCAAAUGUGUUUCACUCUCCAUAACCCUAAGCCUUUUUCUGAAGUAUUUGAAGGGAAAUCUCAGACAUCAUUGUACCUCUGACUACUUUAGAAUGCAUCUUAAUUAAAAAAAAAAAAAAAAAAAAAGGCCGAGCAUGGUGGUUCACACCUGUAAUCCUAGCACUUUGGGAGGCCGAGGCAGGUGGAUCACCUGAGGUCAGGAGUUCAAGACCAGCCUGGCCAACAUGGUGAAACCCUGUCUCAACUAAAAAUACAGAAAAAUUAGCUGGGUUUGCCUGUAAUUCCAGCUACUUCGGGAGGCUGAGGCAGAAGAAUUGCUUGCACCUGGGAGGUAGAGGUUGCAGUGAGCCAAGAUCGCACUACUGCACUCCAGCCUGGGUGACAAGAGAGAAACUCCAUCUCAAAAAAAAAAAAAAGGCAUUUGGCUGGGCACAGUAGCUCAUGCCUGUAAUCCCAGCACUUUGGGAAGCUGAGGUAAAAGAAUCUCUUGAGCCUAGGAGUUGGAGACCAGCCUGGGCAACAUAGCAAGACCCCAUCUCUACAAAAAAAUUUUUAAAAUAGCCAGGUGUGGUGGCACAUGCCUGUAGUCCUGGCUACUUGGGAGGCUGAGGCAGGAGGAUAGCUUGAGCCCAGGAGUUUGAGGUUAUGGUGAGCUAUGAUCACACCAGUGUGCUCCAGCGUGAGUGAUACAGAGUGAGACCCUGUCUCUAUAAAGUGACAACUACAAAAACAAACAUUUGCUGACAUAAUCACAAUGUCAUUGUUACACUUUACAUAAUUGACAACAGUUCUCUGACAUCAGCUGGUCAUAGUCACCUCUCCUAGAUGGGCCACAAAAGUCUUUCUAGACUUGGUUUGUCACCUCAGGACCCAGUGAGACUCACACAUUCAUUAUGUUUGGCUGUUAGGCCUCUUAGGUUCCUUUUAACUAGGGUGAUUGUAUAAUUAGUGUCUAAAUUGGGAACCUUGUGAGAAUGAAAUGAAAGGGGGCCAUAUAUGUGGCCACACAGGGGCAGCAAACGUACACUGGGAUGGACCUGGGUCCUUGGCCACUUCUGUUGAAGUCCCCUUUGAGGAGGGAUAGCCUGUCUGGUGUCGUCCUCUGGCAAGUCCCACUUCCCAGACACCAAGAAGACGAGAAGGAAGCCAAGACAGAAGAAACCAGAACCCAACCUCUUGCGGGACCGGUCGACCUCCCCAUGCCUGCCACCAACCCUGCUGCCACCUCUGCCGCUACCACCACCAUGGUCUCCGUGGUGACCUCAUCACUCCCUGGCACCUGGGGCUGCCUUGCUUGCCUAAAGCCAAGUAGGUGGAGCCCCUUGGUGCCUUCAACCCCCACCCAACGCCUUAACCAGAGCAAACCCCGUUUAUCUGCUUUGUCCAUCAAGACCCUGUCUGCAAAGAGGGGUCUGCUGCUUAAAAGCAGAGGGCUGAGAUCCACGGCUACAGGCCCAGGAGAGCCCCUGGGAUUAUUCUGAGCAGGGGGCACCCAGGACUGCCUGGAGUGGGGGAGGCUCCCACUGACCGACUUGCAGGGCAGUGGAGGGAAGGGACCAAAGACCGUAGGCAUAGUGUAGACCAGACAGGAUCCUGGGGCUCCCAAAGGACAGGUGGAAAACCAGGGGGCCCCUCCCACAUCUCCAGCCCCACUCCUGCCUCUCCCUGUGGGCAUGGCUCCCCAUGCUACCCUCUGCCUGCAGUGCACUGGGUUAGAGCCAGGGGUGUCUGGCCCCAGGGAGGUGCGGAGGCAUGCUUACCGGGGGAGCCAGGGCAAUGGAGCUUGGGCAGGCUGUUUCCAGCCACAUAUGAGAAAUGGAAGCCUCCAGGGUUGAGAACCAAGGGAGUCAGAUCAACCAGUCAGAUCAACCAUGUGGCUGCAAGACAGGGCAGAGAGGGGACGUCAGCCCCAGGCCCCUCCACACCUCAUGUGCAGUUCUACAGCACGGGCACAGGCACUGCCUACACAGAGCCAACCUCUGAGCCCAGACCCCUCCACUGUAAAAUGAGAAUAAGCACUCAGGAUGGUUGUGAGGAUUCACUAACAGACUGAGAAGAAAUGGUGACCUAGCCUGGCACAUGGGACACUCCCCAAGAUGCUCCUUUUUCAUUUCCCUCAAGCCCAGAGUAAACCCCUUCGACCUCCUUGGGUUUCGUGACAGGCCAUUCCAGUUUAAUUUCACUUCAGAUCUUGAAAUGUCCAAAUUCUUCACCUGGAGGAUAGAAAGGAAAUCUCAGGACAAGUUUGUUGGCCUCAUUUGAAGAAAAGUACCUUAUAGAAGAGCCAUAAGAAUGACGUGGCUUUCAUUCACUCAGCAGAUACAUUGGGACCAUCUCUUGUGCCCACCUUGAGCUUGGUUAGGGGUACAGGAGAUGGGGUCGGGGGCGCUGGGAACUAAGGAGGUCUGAACCCAGCCUUGGGGAUGGAGGACUGCCUGGAGGUGGAGGCCAGACCUGAAUGAGUCACACAGGCUAAGUGGGGAGUCAAGAGGUGCAGGCAGUUAGGCCACCACACCUGGCCGCUCAUCUUUUUUAGCAUUGAAUAAUAUUCCAUUGCCUGGAUAUGUCACAUUUUAUCAUUCACCCAAUGAAGGAUAUCCUGGUUGCUUCCAAGUUUUGCAAUUAUGAAUAAAGCAGUAUAAACAUC
This is an RNA transcript of Gorilla gorilla gorilla (western lowland gorilla), 6257 nucleotides long. RefSeq lists it as uncharacterized. The record is from RefSeq and is a predicted model, not a curated record. The transcript is spliced from 2 exons. NCBI's taxonomy places the organism in Eukaryota, Metazoa, Chordata, Mammalia, Primates, Hominidae.